This 150-nucleotide ribosomal RNA is filed under the name Triticum aestivum (bread wheat). RNAcentral describes it as "partial small subunit ribosomal RNA". The record is from RNAcentral. Lineage: Eukaryota; Viridiplantae; Streptophyta; Magnoliopsida; Poales; Poaceae.
AUGGACAGCAUCGCAUGCCAUGAGAGAGCCAGAGCGUUCAAGGUGUUUAAAAAUGCUAAGAACCGUGAAACCUUCAUCACUUCUGCUGCCGAGGAUGAAGAGAGUGCGGUCAUGUGGCGUCGGAGCGAAAUGGCUGAGUUGCCUACCUAG